UCCAGACUCCUACGGGAGGCAGCAGUGGGGAAUAUUGCACAAUGGGGGAAACCCUGAUGCAGCAACGCCGCGUGAGUGAAGAAGUAUUUCGGUAUGUAAAGCUCUAUCAGCAGGGAAGAAAAUGACGGUACCUGAGUAAGAAGCCCCGGCUAACUACGUGCCAGCAGCCGCGGUAAUACGUAGGGGGCAAGCGUUAUCCGGAUUUACUGGGUGUAAAGGGAGCGUAGACGGCGAUACAAGUCUGAAGUGAAAGCCCGGGGCUCAACCCCGGGACUGCUCUUGGAACUGUGCGGCUGGAGUGCGGGAGGGGCAGGCGGAAUUCCUGGUGUAGCGGUGAAAUGCGUAGAUAUCAGGAGGAACACCGGCGGCGAAGGCGGCCUGCUGGACCGCGACUGACGUUGAGGCUCGAAAGCGUGGGGAGCAAACAGGAUUAGAUACCCUAGUAU
This 446-nucleotide ribosomal RNA is filed under the name uncultured bacterium. RNAcentral's name for it is "bacterial SSU rRNA". It matches the Rfam family "Bacterial small subunit ribosomal RNA", at positions 330 to 793 of the family's 1533-position model. The record is from RNAcentral.